This 61-nucleotide transfer RNA is filed under the name Phascolarctobacterium succinatutens. It matches the Rfam family "tRNA", at positions 7 to 62 of the family's 71-position model. From Rfam's summary of the family: Transfer RNA (tRNA) molecules are approximately 80 nucleotides in length. Lineage: Bacteria; Bacillati; Bacillota; Negativicutes; Acidaminococcales; Acidaminococcaceae. The record is from RNAcentral.
UCGUAGCUCAGCUGGAUAGAGCGUUUGACUACGAAUCAAAAGGUCGCAGGUUCGAGUCCUG